UAACAAAAAUACAGUUUUUGGUUCUGUAUGGUUGUAUAGUUACCGUGUCACGUCUACCUGCAGAUUCGGCGGAGGGUGGAGAGAGAGCAGCAAGAGCAGGAAAGGCAGCGGCAGCUGGAGGAGCAGCAGAGGGUAAAAAUGCUCAUGAUGCAUUAAUCUCAAGAAGAAGGAGGAGGAGUGGAGGAGUCAUGUGGCGAAACUAGCAUCUGAACGCGAGUCUCUACGUGACAGAUUACACAGGCUACGUGAAUUCAGGGACUUUCAGAAAAAGGUGCUGAUACAGGACCUGGGCCUGGAUCCAGACUCAUCCAAUGAGAAGCUGACAAAAAUCCUUAGGAGAUUGUAAUGGUGGUUAUUUGAAGAGACAGAAACACUGAAUGUAAAAUAUGCUGGAGGAAAACCUUUAAAAUAUGAGAUAUGUAGUGAACAGCUUUAUAGUUAAAGCAUUAAUCUAUUAUAUUUUACUGUGAAGAAAAUCAACGUUUUCAACUUUG
Molecule: long non-coding RNA, 494 nt
Filed under: Astyanax mexicanus (Mexican tetra)
Lineage: Eukaryota; Metazoa; Chordata; Actinopteri; Characiformes; Acestrorhamphidae
Description: lncRNA (ENSAMXG00005024872.1)
Source: RNAcentral